RNAcentral lists this ribosomal RNA (585 nucleotides) under Oxalobacteraceae bacterium StRD307. RNAcentral describes it as "bacterial SSU rRNA". It matches the Rfam family "Bacterial small subunit ribosomal RNA", at positions 102 to 683 of the family's 1533-position model. Lineage: Bacteria; Pseudomonadati; Pseudomonadota; Betaproteobacteria; Burkholderiales; Oxalobacteraceae. The record is from RNAcentral.
ACGGGUGAGUAAUAUAUCGGAACGUACCCAAGAGUGGGGGAUAACGUAGCGAAAGUUACGCUAAUACCGCAUACGAUCUAAGGAUGAAAGCAGGGGAUCUUCGGACCUUGUGCUCCUGGAGCGGCCGAUAUCUGAUUAGCUAGUUGGUGGGGUAAAGGCCCACCAAGGCAACGAUCAGUAGCUGGUCUGAGAGGACGACCAGCCACACUGGAACUGAGACACGGUCCAGACUCCUACGGGAGGCAGCAGUGGGGAAUUUUGGACAAUGGGGGCAACCCUGAUCCAGCAAUGCCGCGUGAGUGAAGAAGGCCUUCGGGUUGUAAAGCUCUUUUGUCAGGGAAGAAAAGGGUCUGGCUAAUAUCCAGGCCUGCUGACGGUACCUGAAGAAUAAGCACCGGCUAACUACGUGCCAGCAGCCGCGGUAAUACGUAGGGUGCAAGCGUUAAUCGGAAUUACUGGGCGUAAAGCGUGCGCAGGCGGUUUCGUAAGUCUGUCGUGAAAUCCCCGGGCUUAACCUGGGAAUGGCGAUGGAGACUGCGAGGCUAGAGUUUGGCAGAGGGGGGUAGAAUUCCACGUGUAGCAGUG